AGCUUCGCCUGCGAGCUGGGUUGUGUAAAGGCUGGUCAUUUUGGGGCGCUUAGGGGUGGGUGCCGGGGGGCGCGCUUUCCCUCGUGAAGGUCGCUCCAGGAGUCAUGCGUACAUUCGUUCAUUUUGCUCUGGACGCACUGAUGUUCCCGGCUCGCCGCCGUGCCGCAGUCACGAGGCUCUCCGAACGCCUUUCACUGUGUUUCUGUUUACAUUCGCGUCUGCAAGACCCGGCGGCGCGACCGAGGCCCGAACAGAUGGAGAUGGGCUGCCAUGUUGUGAGCUGCCCCAUGGGGAAGAGGCUCACAUGUGAGGAACUGAGGGAGGCCUCCAGAAAACAGCCAGUGAAGAACUGAGACCCUCAGUCCAAUAGCCUAUGAGGAACUGAAUCCUGCUGACAACCAUAUGAAUGAGCUUGGAAGCAGAUCCUUCCCCAGUGAAGCCUUCAUGUGAGACUGCAGCCCACUUGACACUUUGAUUUGUAGCUUGUGACAGACCCCAAGCCAGAAGAGUCAGGACUUCUCCAGCUCCAUUUACAGUCUGGCUCCUGGGCCUUUGGAUCCCAGCAGUGUCCGAGCAGGAGCUCAAAGGACAGCCCCACCAUGGGGGAUCAGCCCUAGAAGCUGUCACUACAUCUCCAACGGACGCAACUAUUUUCCAGGUGAAUGAGCUUCCUGCCCAUAGGAGAAAGGGUAAAAUCACAAGGUGGUGCCCUUGUCUCCAAAUCUCAAGGUCCUCUGGAUGGCAGGUGAGUAAAGGUGACUCUUGUGAUUAUGGGUGUUUUGGGUGUUCCUCAGAGAUCCCCCAAACUGGGGUCUUGUCCACCAUUCCCAGGACUCUGCCAUGUGGAGCCAUGGGAAUGUGAAGUUCACCUCACACUUCCUUUCAGCUGAGGUCACCACACAGCCCCUACCAGCCCGGCUAUAUUGGGUGGGAUUUCAGAUGCCCCCACAAUGGCUGCCUUGGAGACUUUCCACUGGUCCUCAAGAAGCAACAACGCUCCCCUUGCUCUGCCUUUGGUGGAGGGCAAUUCCUCCUCUCUCUCUGCCUGGCCCCAGGCUGCUUCCACUGUCUCAGAAACUGGUCCCCGGAUUCCCCCAGUUACAGAGAACCCUCAUCAAGCUCUCAAGUGGCCACUGAAACCCAGGCUCUCUAGGCUCUGGAGUAUGGAAGUGACAGCUCCAUUUAAUUUCUCCUUUCCUCUUGUAGGCUUACAGCAUAGCACUCUCCCAAGAAAUCAUCCAAAAAUUACCUCAACCAUUCUAUAGACCCCAAGCUGACCAGGGGAGGGAGGACCAAGAAUCUUGAAACGUAAAUACUACAUUUGAUGGUCUCCUUCAGACUUAUUUUGGGAUCUGAUAUCUCUUUAACAAAAAUUAUAAAAAUUGAGGCAAAGAGAGCCCCAUUUUUUAUAUACUGUUCUAAUAAAUAACAGGUACCCUUAGAAGAAUGCAGACAAACACUCCUAUGGAAAUUUAAAGGAGCAUAAGACUUCUUGCAGUAUAGGGAGAGAACCAAGGAAGACUUCCUGGAGGAAAUGGCCAUUGAACUGGGCCUUGGACAUGUGGAGGUGAGGGAUGAGAGUAUUCCAGAUGAAGAGUCCAGCAUAGGGAAGGCCCACAGGAAGGAAUUGUGCUGUAUUAAUGCUGUCUUAGAGGCAUUUCCAUUGCCAGACACAGAUACUCAAAUUACUUCAGAGAGAGAGAGAGAGAGUAUUGAAAGGGUUUCUGUGAAUACCUCCACAACUGUGGUUCUCAAAGUGUAAUCCCUGGGCCAGCAGCAUCGGCAUCACCUGGGAACUUGUUAGAAAUGCAGAUUCCCAGGCUGGGUGCAGUGGCUCACGCCUGUAACCCUAGCACUUUGGGAGUCCGAGGUGGGUGGAUCACCUGAGGUUGGGAGUUUGAGACCAGCCUGACCAACAUGGAGAAACCCUGUCUCUACUAAAAAUACAAAAAGCCAGGUGUGGUGGCGCAUGCCUGUAAUCCCAGCUGCUUGGGAGGCUGAGGCAGGAGAAUCGCUUGAACCCGGG
Molecule: long non-coding RNA, 2026 nt
Organism: Homo sapiens (human)
Lineage: Eukaryota; Metazoa; Chordata; Mammalia; Primates; Hominidae
Product: long intergenic non-protein coding RNA 2245
Source: Ensembl